This 1324-nucleotide ribosomal RNA is filed under the name Arthrobacter sp. 154 ZZ-2014. RNAcentral describes it as "bacterial SSU rRNA". It matches the Rfam family "Bacterial small subunit ribosomal RNA", at positions 81 to 1418 of the family's 1533-position model. Lineage: Bacteria; Bacillati; Actinomycetota; Actinomycetes; Micrococcales; Micrococcaceae. The record is from RNAcentral.
UUGCUGGGGGAUUAGUGGCGAACGGGUGAGUAACACGUGAGUAACCUGCCCUUGACUCUGGGAUAAGCCUGGGAAACUGGGUCUAAUACCGGAUAUGACUCCUCAUCGCAUGGUGGGGGGUGGAAAGCUUUUGUGGUUUUGGAUGGACUCGCGGCCUAUCAGCUUGUUGGUGGGGUAAUGGCCUACCAAGGCGACGACGGGUAGCCGGCCUGAGAGGGUGACCGGCCACACUGGGACUGAGACACGGCCCAGACUCCUACGGGAGGCAGCAGUGGGGAAUAUUGCACAAUGGGCGCAAGCCUGAUGCAGCGACGCCGCGUGAGGGAUGACGGCCUUCGGGUUGUAAACCUCUUUCAGUAGGGAAGAAGCGAAAGUGACGGUACCUGCAGAAGAAGCGCCGGCUAACUACGUGCCAGCAGCCGCGGUAAUACGUAGGGCGCAAGCGUUAUCCGGAAUUAUUGGGCGUAAAGAGCUCGUAGGCGGUUUGUCGCGUCUGCUGUGAAAGACCGGGGCUCAACUCCGGUUCUGCAGUGGGUACGGGCAGACUAGAGUGCAGUAGGGGAGACUGGAAUUCCUGGUGUAGCGGUGAAAUGCGCAGAUAUCAGGAGGAACACCGAUGGCGAAGGCAGGUCUCUGGGCUGUAACUGACGCUGAGGAGCGAAAGCAUGGGGAGCGAACAGGAUUAGAUACCCUGGUAGUCCAUGCCGUAAACGUUGGGCACUAGGUGUGGGGGACAUUCCACGUUUUCCGCGCCGUAGCUAACGCAUUAAGUGCCCCGCCUGGGGAGUACGGCCGCAAGGCUAAAACUCAAAGGAAUUGACGGGGGCCCGCACAAGCGGCGGAGCAUGCGGAUUAAUUCGAUGCAACGCGAAGAACCUUACCAAGGCUUGACAUGAACCGGUAAUACCUGGAAACAGGUGCCCCGCUUGCGGUCGGUUUACAGGUGGUGCAUGGUUGUCGUCAGCUCGUGUCGUGAGAUGUUGGGUUAAGUCCCGCAACGAGCGCAACCCUCGUUCUAUGUUGCCAGCGGUUCGGCCGGGGACUCAUAGGAGACUGCCGGGGUCAACUCGGAGGAAGGUGGGGACGACGUCAAAUCAUCAUGCCCCUUAUGUCUUGGGCUUCACGCAUGCUACAAUGGCCGGUACAAAGGGUUGCGAUACUGUGAGGUGGAGCUAAUCCCAAAAAGCCGGUCUCAGUUCGGAUUGGGGUCUGCAACUCGACCCCAUGAAGUCGGAGUCGCUAGUAAUCGCAGAUCAGCAACGCUGCGGUGAAUACGUUCCCGGGCCUUGUACACACCGCCCGUCAAGUCACGAAAGUUGGUAAC